CUAGGGGAGCGAACAGGAUUAGAUACCCUGGUAGUCUUAGCUGUAAACGAUGGACACUAGGUGUGGGGAGUUAUCGACGCUCUCCGUGCCGAAGCAAACGCAUUAAGUGUCCCGCCUGGGGAGUACGGUCGCAAGACUAAAACUCAAAAGAAUUGACGGGGGCCCGCACAAGCGGCGGAGCAUGUGGCUUAACUCGACGCAACGCGAAGAACCUUACCAAGGUUUGACACCAUAUUGAAGUUAGUAGAAAUAUUAACGCCCGCAAGGGCAGUAUGACAGGUGGUGCAUGGUUGUCGUCAGCUCGUGUCGUGAGAUGUUGGGUUAAGUCCCGCAACGAGCGCAACCCUCGUCCCAUGUUGCCAUCAGGUUAAGCUGGGCACUCUUGGGAUACUGCCAGUGUAAAACUGGAGGAAGGUGGGGAUGACGUCAAAUCAUCAUGCCCUUUAUAUCUUGGGCUGCACACGUGCUACAAUGGCCUGUACAAAGAGCUGCGAUACCGCGAGGUGGAGCGAAUCUCAAAAAACAGGUCUAAGUCCAGAUUGAAGGCUGAAACUCGCCUUCAUGAAGUCGGAGUCGCUAGUAAUCGUGGAUCAGCACGCCACGGUGAAUACGUUCCCGGGCCUUGUACACACCGCCCGUCACACCACGAAAAUCGGAUACACCCGAAGCCAGUGGGCUAACCCGCAAGGGAGGCAGCUGUCGAAGGUGGAGUCGGUGAUU
Molecule: ribosomal RNA, 720 nt
Filed under: uncultured bacterium
Lineage: Bacteria
Description: bacterial SSU rRNA
Rfam family: Bacterial small subunit ribosomal RNA
Source: RNAcentral